CCUACGGGUGGCAGCAGUGAGGAAUAUUGGUCAAUGGCCGUAAGGCUGAACCAGCCAAGUCGCGUGAAGGAAGAAGGAUCUAUGGUUUGUAAACUUCUUUUGUACGAGGGUAAACCCCGAUACGUGUAUCGGGUUGAAAGUAUCGUACGAAUAAGGAUCGGCUAACUCCGUGCCAGCAGCCGCGGUAAUACGGAGGAUCCGAGCGUUAUCCGGAUUUAUUGGGUUUAAAGGGUGCGUAGGCGGUUUGAUAAGUUAGAGGUGAAAUGUCGGGGCUCAACCCCGAAACUGCCUCUAAUACUGUUGGACUAGAGAAUAGUUGCGGUAGGCGGAAUGUAUGGUGUAGCGGUGAAAUGCUUAGAGAUCAUACAGAACACCGAUUGCGAAGGCAGCUUACCAAACUAUAUCUGACGUUGAGGCACGAAAGCGUGGGUAGCAAACAGGAUUAGAUACCCUUGUAGUC
RNAcentral lists this ribosomal RNA (460 nucleotides) under uncultured bacterium. RNAcentral describes it as "partial 16S ribosomal RNA". It matches the Rfam family "Bacterial small subunit ribosomal RNA", at positions 338 to 795 of the family's 1533-position model. The record is from RNAcentral.